Molecule: ribosomal RNA, 497 nt
Filed under: uncultured bacterium
Lineage: Bacteria
Description: partial 16S ribosomal RNA
Rfam family: Bacterial small subunit ribosomal RNA
Source: RNAcentral
GAUGAACGCUGGCGGCGUGCCUAAUACAUGCAAGUCGAGCGAACGGACGAGAAGCUUGCUUUUCUGAUGUUAGCGGCGGACGGGUGAGUAACACGUGGAUAACCUACCUAUCAGACUGGGAUAACUUCGGGACACCGGCGCUAAUACCGGAUAAUAUUUUGAACCGCAUGGUUCAAAAGUGAAAGACGGUCUUGCUGUCACUUAUAGAUGGAUCCGCGCUGCAUUAGCUAGUUGGUAAGGUAACGGCUUACCAAGGCAACGAUGCCUAGCCGACCUGAGAGGGUGAUCGGCGACCUGGGAACUGAGACACCGUCCAGACGCCUACGGGAGGCAGCAGUAGGGAAUCUUCCGCAAUGGGGGAAAGCCUGACGGAGCAACGCCGCGUGAGUGAUGAAGGUCUUCGGAGCGUAAAACUCUGUUAUUAGGGAAGAACAGAUGUGUAAGUAACUGUGCACAGCUUGACGGUACCUAAUCAGAAAGCCACGGCUAACUACGUG